GCGUAACGCGUGGGAAUCUGUCCUUGGGUCCGGAAUAACAGUUAGAAAUGACUGCUAAUACCGGAUGAUGACUUCGGUCCAAAGAUUUAUCGCCCAGGGAUGAGCCCGCGUCGGAUUAGCUAGUUGGUGAGGUAAAGGCUCACCAAGGCGACGAUCCGUAGCUGGUCUGAGAGGAUGAUCAGCCACACUGGGACUGAGACACGGCCCAGACUCCUACGGGAGGCAGCAGUGGGGAAUAUUGGACAAUGGGCGAAAGCCUGAUCCAGCAAUGCCGCGUGAGUGAUGAAGGCCUUAGGGUUGUAA
Molecule: ribosomal RNA, 303 nt
Filed under: uncultured Sphingomonas sp.
Lineage: Bacteria; Pseudomonadati; Pseudomonadota; Alphaproteobacteria; Sphingomonadales; Sphingomonadaceae
Description: bacterial SSU rRNA
Rfam family: Bacterial small subunit ribosomal RNA
Source: RNAcentral